RNAcentral lists this transfer-messenger RNA (356 nucleotides) under Candidatus Omnitrophota bacterium. It matches the Rfam family "transfer-messenger RNA". Rfam says of the family: Bacterial tmRNA, also known as 10Sa RNA or SsrA, is named for its dual tRNA and mRNA-like properties. The record is from RNAcentral. Lineage: Bacteria; Pseudomonadati; Candidatus Omnitrophota.
GGGGGCGACCAGGUUUCGACUUGUAUAAGUUCUGAUAAGAGCAGCAUGCCGAGGUUAUCAGGAGGCCUCGUAAAACACCUGAUACAAUAUAAUCGCUAAUGAAGAAUUAGCCUUAGCUGCUUAGAUAAGCGGCUACGUUCAUCCUGCCUUUUCCUGCGGGGCGGGAAUGAGCGUCAUUUAGCAGGAUAGCCUGGUUUGUUUAUCUUUUGGCGAAUCAGGUAAAACCAUAAAAAGAUAGCUUCUCUUUCUCCCUGCCUUUCGGGGAAUUAGAAGCGAAUCUUAAAGAAAGGCUAAACAUGUAGAUACUCUUGUUGGAUUGUUCAAGGACCGGGGUUCGAUUCCCCGCGCUUCCACCA